UAUGGUGAUGACGACACACUUGCCCUCACUGAGAGCGCUGUUCGCUAAUGAGAACUUUGCGAAGUACUCGAAGAGCUGAGCCAGC
Pelodiscus sinensis (Chinese soft-shelled turtle) is the source of this 85-nucleotide small nucleolar RNA. Ensembl annotates it as small nucleolar RNA SNORD103/SNORD85. The record is from Ensembl. Lineage: Eukaryota; Metazoa; Chordata; Testudines; Trionychidae.